This 770-nucleotide non-coding RNA is filed under the name Alligator sinensis (Chinese alligator). RNAcentral describes it as "Eukaryotic large subunit ribosomal RNA". It matches the Rfam family "Eukaryotic large subunit ribosomal RNA", at positions 24 to 593 of the family's 3401-position model. Lineage: Eukaryota; Metazoa; Chordata; Crocodylia; Alligatoridae. The record is from Rfam by way of RNAcentral.
CAUGCUGAAUUUAAGCAUAUUAGCAGAGGAAGACAAACCAACUAGGAUUUCUUCUGUAAUGGUGAGUGAACAGAGAAGAGCCCAAUACCGAAUCCCUGUCCAGCAGUGAGGCACAGGAAAUAUGGCAUACGGAAGACCCAUUCCCCAGCACUGCUCUUAGGAGGCUCAAGUCCUUUUGAUCAAAGCACAGUCCAUGGAUGUUGUGAGGCCAGUACUGACCCCUGGCAUGCCAGGACACACCAGGAUUAGGUCUUCUUGGAGUCAGGUUGCUUGGAAAUUCAGCCCAAAGGAGAUGCUAAAGUCCAUCUAGGGCUAAAUACCAGCAUGAGAUUGAUAUUCAAUAAGCACCAUAAGGGAAAGUUGAAAAGAACUUUGAAGAGAGAAUUCAAGAGGGAGUUAAAUAGUUAGGGUAUAAAUGGGUGGGGUCCACAUAGUCUGCCCAAAGGAUUCAACCCAGCCAGAUCUGUUAGCCCACAACGGACAACAUAACCCCCUUACCACACUUAAUAGCGGGUGGUAGAAGACUACUCCCUGGAUGGCCCUGACCCUCACUGGGCACACUUCCACUGUGGCAGUAUGCCAUAGCCAGUUCUGGGUCAGCUGGGAAGGCUCCACAGUGACUCCCAGAUCUCUUUCCUGUGUAAUAACACCUAAUAUAAUUUGGGUUAUUUUUGCUGUUUUAAUGGAGGAUGUCUGUACAUCAUUUUUUUUUUUUUAUCAUGGAGAAACUUCUGCACAUCAGCUUCCAUGUGGUUCUUGAUAGAACAGGA